GGGGCCUCCGUGCGUUUCUCGCCGCUCAAGCGUCGAGCAGGCUGUUGGUGUAAAGUCGGAGGCGGCUCUUGUAAAAAUCCAGGUGACGGAGAUGCCGAAAGCAGGAUUAACGAGCGCGGAGGAGCUCCGAGCUCCCUGCCAGGCAGGGGCAUGAAUACCACACGCGCUUGGUGGUGUUGCAGUCCUCGCGUACCUGAAGAGUUGGUGUCUCGGUGUAUACAGAGUUGUGCCGGCUGCUUUUUAAGGACUAAGACGAGCCCUUAUGUCUCCUCAUUGCCCACGUAGCUAACUCGGUAAGAAGGAAGAUUUGCCAAACAGGUUGUAGUUGCCACACUGAGGUCACACGGCAUGUGGUGUUGGUGGCCGUAUCACCUCCAAACUGGGGUAUCGUGGACACUGCUGAGAAGCGCAAGGCGAUAGCUAGUAAUUUCAGGCCAAAGUCUACGUGGUUCAGGGUAGCUUAAUGUGGCCUUAGCUAGUCGUUUUAUUUUCGUAAUUAAAAUACGUAUUACGUGGCAAGACUCACUCUAUCAUAGUAAUCAGGUUUACAAGGGUGUAAAUUGAUAUGAAAACUCUAUAUUAUAUUACAGAACUUGAUGUCUGAACCAGGAAGAGUCUUUCACAAUCCCUUUUUCUAUUCAAACUGCAUUUACCUGAUUGCUGGCUAACAGGUCUCUACGUCAGAUCACAACUGCUCUCAGUGAACUCGGAACAUGAGAGAAGAGAAAAAGGAAGCUUCUCAUUCUCGCAAAUGGAUCUCUUAAGCAUGAAGCUGAUGCGAUGCCAGCAGAAUGUUAGUGGCUACAUCCGCUGGUAUUCUUUUGACUUUUGAGAAGUACAACUCUCAAUUGAGUUCAGCUGUCCUGCACCCACAAAGCUAUGGUUGAGAACCACUAGAACUCCCCCAUCUCUUGCAGUAGCAGUAAUGUAUGUGCCUCUCCCCAUGAUGCAGUGUGGAACAGCAAUGCUGAAUGAAGCACUGGCCUUUUUUGUUUCAUUUACCAGGGAGGGACUUGGACAACACAGUGGUCAACUUGCUGAUUGCUGGUACGCUUUACUGCUCCAAACUGUGCUAAGUCCAGUAAGGUAGAACUGAUAUGUUUUAAGUAAUGCCUCAGUGCAAACAAGGCCUUGAAGGUGAGUGUCUCUUUAUGUGUACUGUUAUAACAUGAGAUGGGUCUCAUUAAUUCCGAGAUAAUACUAACGGCAGGGAAUCUUCAUUGACUAUAGUAUUUGUUAGCCUUUUCCAGACUCCUUGGUCAUUUUCCUAGAGCAAUGACUCAUCACUUCAUCACUGUGCUGAUUACAUUAAAUUGUUAUUACUAUUAUUUCAAUAUAAGUAACAUAAUGCUUAUGCUAAUUCACUUUGUGCACAACUGUCAGAAUUCUUGAAACAGCCGUCAAUUGAAAGCAUCCUACAUGAGCAUUUCAGCAUUAUUUAGACUUUUCCUGAUUAUUCUAUUCAUAUUUAUGAUAUUUAACUCUGUUCAGUGAUGAUUUUCAAUAUAGUAUGUGAAAACUCAGAGCAAAUGGUCAGACAUUUUUGUGAAACCAUUGGUAUUGUUUGAAGGGAAAUCAGGACAUAACGUGACUACUCUUCAGUUUUUACUAAAAUUCAGCCUUUUUUCUUCAGAUCUAAUCUAAAAUUCAGAUUUUUUUUCGUACAGAACAGGCCAAAGAGUAAUGUUGGGGUGGGAGUAUCAGGGAAGACUUCCCCAAAAGGAAAAGUCUGCUUUUUUGAAACAUUGAACACGGAUGAUAAAAUGAUGCUGUUAGAUUUUUUUUAUUUCUUUUUUUUUAACAGUAGCAGAACAAAAAUCAAAUGUUGAGAGAUCUUAUGUUUGCACUUAUUUUAUUAAGCAGUUAGUUGUAUACAACUCCAAAAGAGUCUUCAGUUUCAAGGCUGCCUCUGAACUCUGUGCCCUGAAGAAAAGGAAGGCUUCAAAAUGUGGUUUCUGGUAUAUCCAACAUUAAAAAAACCCCAACCUUAUCAUCCUUCUUGCCUGCUUUUUCUUUGUAAUAGAAUGAAUUUGAAAACAUGAAAAAACACAGCAUAGCAUAAUAACGAAGGGACAGUACCAAGGUCUGACCUUGGUGGGGUUAUUCAUGUGCUUGAAGUUACACAAGUACUUUGUUCUGCCCAUAUGUGGAAUGCAAGCAAGCUCACCACAGUAACUGGCGUGAGUGAAGAAAGACUGGACAUUUAAAAAUGAGAUUAUUCCAUCUGUCUUAGCGUAUUUUGUAUGUCAUUUCACAUUUGCUACCUAAAGACCAGCUUCUGCUAUCUUUGUUCAUCAUAUGCUGAGAACACCACGGCUGCAUGGAAAAGGUGAAAAUUCAGAAAAAAUUGAGAACAUUGGCUAUUGUUCUGAUAGCAUUAAUCCCUUUCAUAUUUUGCUUCUUUGCAUGUAUUCUGUAUCGUCCGAACUAAAUUACUGUAGAUUCUCCUAGGAAAGUAUCACUGAAUGUCGUGUGAUUUAAAUAUAGCUAGAGACUGCAAGGGGCCUUUCUAGAGAGUGGGUCACUGUGCAUUGCACUUUCUGGAGCUGUUGAAAGGUGCAGAGACCAGAAGCUGUUGAUCUAGCCUGACACCUUCAGAAUAAACACUGUGUUCAAAAUGCCUUCAUCCUUCUCUUACGAGAAUACAAGCACCUACUCCUUUUGCGAGAGGACUGCCCUCGCACUUCGGAUCUUUUUUCUUCACCUCAACCAUCACAGCGGCGAAGCGUGCUCUCCUGGCAGCGGGGCAGGACGCCAGCAGUGGCUGCUGGAGGUUCCCAGCAGCCUCUUCCAGGCCCUCAGUCCAUCACUGCCCGCUAGUGACGUGACGGUACCAUCUGGCGCCGAGUUGGAAUUGCACAAUCCAUUUGCUGUCAGGGUGCAUCAAUAACCUGCAACGUUCAAAAGGUUCAGCGCUCUUUGACAACAGGCGUGUCUGCGAGGGUGUUUAUUUUCAAACCUCUCUGGGGUGAGAGGAGAUGCUUUUGGGUCUGGGAAACUGUGUGUUGCGUUCAAGAACCAAAUCAUGAUGAUCUGUCCAUAGAUAAUUCACGUUGCAAUUCUGGUUUUAAGAUACCUAAGGAAUAUAUGUAAUGAAUAUAAAACUAAAGUUGUUUCUUUUCUGAGAGGGCACUGUGGCUGAAUGGAAACCAUGGUAACUAGGAUGGCAUAUGCUGGUACCUUGUUCCUGAGUGAUAAAAAUGCACAUAGAGUAGGCUUUGAGCUUAGCAACAAAACCUAAUCAACCAAGUUUUCAAAUAGCCCUCCCUCCAGCCCUCUAUUGCAGCUGCCACCCUUGUCCCAUGCAGUAUGUAUGCCCAGUCUUUGUACUUUCAUGUUCACUAAUCCAUCCUCUAGGCAAGCAAUAAGCAACACAAAAUACAUUUGACACAAAAGAAAACAAUUUAUUCUUGUUGGCCGUUGCUUUAGAAGAAUACACAACUCAAAUCUCCUUCCCUGUAGAGCUGUUGUGAAGUAUGACUCAUCCUUGGCCAACAUGUUGCACGUUCACUUUAAUUAGAAUAUGUGCAUCUAAAGAUUGUUGUAAACACUUAUUGUUAAUAGCAAAUUGCUCCCUGGUAUACAAUGGGAAGUAGAAGCAAUUUUAACACAUUUAAUACAUUAAGCUGUACAUUUUAAGUCAUGUUGGGGCACCACACUGACAAAAAUUAAUUAGGGAGAUUCUCUAAUUAGCAUACAUUGGCUGCCAUACAAAUCAUGUUGGCAUGAAAAAUGGGAAUAAUGCAAAUUGUACUCUACAGUGAUGAUUAAAUAUUUUCUAAACACUAAACAAUAUUAUACAAAUCUUUGAUACCUACCCUGUGUGGCAAAUCUGGAUAAGGAUCCAAUUUAUUUAUAAUGAGUGAAAAGAGAUGAAAGUAUUGCUGCUUUCUAGUUGUUGAUGGUACACAUUAAAAAGGCUGACUUUCAUAGAAUCAUAGAAUAGUUUGGGUUGGAAAGGACCUUAAAGAUCACCUAGUUCCAACCCCUUGCCAUGGGCAGGGACACCUUCCACUAGACCAGGUUGCUCAAAGCCCCAUCCAACCUGGCCUUGAACACUGCCAGGGAUGGGGCAUCCACAGCCUCUCUGGGCAACCUGUUCCAGUGCCUCACCACCCUCACAGGGAAGAACUUCUUCCUUACAGCUAAUCUAAAUCAACCCUCUUUCAGUUUAAAGCCAUUACCCCUUGUCCUACCACUACAUGCCCUUGUAAAAAGUCCCUCUCUGGCUUUCCUGCAGGCCCCCUUUAGGUACUGGAAGGCUGCAGUAAGGUCUCCCCCAAUCCUCUUCUCCAGGCUGAACAACCCCAACUCUCUCAGCCUGUCUUCAUAGGAGAGGUGCUCCAGCCCUCUGAUCAUCUUCGUGGCCCUCCUCUGGGCUCGCUCCAACAGGUCCAACAGGUCCAUGUCUUCCUUAUGUUGGUGUCCCCAGAGCUGAACACAGUACGCCAGGUGCGGUCUCGCAAGAGUGGAGUAGAGGGAGAGAAUCGCCUCCCUUGACCUGCUGGUCACGCUUUUCCAUCUCACAUGCAGAUGCUUUCCUUAGUACAGACAGGUAAAACACCUUCAUACUUACCUGGAGUCUAACUGACCCACGCAACAGAGCCAGUAUCUGACACAGCACAAGUUGAUGAUCCAGAGAUUUUACAGUCUCUCUCAGGAGACUGUAAAAAAGAACAAUCUCCACAUGUA
Molecule: long non-coding RNA, 4692 nt
Organism: Harpia harpyja (harpy eagle)
Lineage: Eukaryota; Metazoa; Chordata; Aves; Accipitriformes; Accipitridae
Exons: 3
Source: RefSeq, a predicted model, not a curated record